CCUAGCCGACGUUUAUGUCCUUGGACAAGAGGGUGUAGAAAAGGCGCUGGAAAGUAGUGGACCUUCUGUAGGAGGUUUGAAUUUUGUAGUUACUGAGGUUGUUCCACUUCCAAAGAUAACACCCAAGACUGGCUACAUUCACCCACAUAACUUUACUAUCAUGGCUAGGAAGCAGAUAGAAAAUCAGAAGAAGACUGAGACUACGGCGGGAAAUCAGCAGAA
Brassica oleracea var. oleracea is the source of this 222-nucleotide long non-coding RNA. RefSeq lists it as uncharacterized. The transcript is spliced from 2 exons. Lineage: Eukaryota; Viridiplantae; Streptophyta; Magnoliopsida; Brassicales; Brassicaceae. The record is from RefSeq and is a predicted model, not a curated record.